AAACCAAGAAAUUUAGUCAUUUUUUUCGGUAAAAAGACAGUUAGGCAAAAGAAAAAUCAUCAGAUCUUUAGUAUAGGGGUAAAAUCCAAGUACUAGAAGCUAUUCCUAGUAUGGUUUAUUUUAAAAGCUGAAUCUGUGACAACUUUAAGGGAAACUGGGAUUGGAUACCCCAUUAUUUUUAGUAAUAAAUUCGAUCUAAAUAUACCAGAGUACUACGAAUAAAAAAUUUAAAACUCAAAGAGCUUGGCGGUGUUUUAGACCUCUCAGGGGAACCUGUCUCAUAAUCGACAAUCCGCGCUAGACCCGACCUUCUAUAGCAAUUCAGCUUGUAUACCGUCGUCGUCAGGUAACUUCUUAAAAUAUAGUAGUUAGCUUGAGAAUCAUAUUAAUUAAUACGUCAGAUCAAGGUGCAGCUUAUAAGAAGGAGAGGAUGGGUUACAAUUAUAAAUUUAUAACUACGGAAGACAUUCAAAACAGAAUAUCUGAAGGAGGACUUGAAAGUAAUUCUGACUAUAUAAAUAGAAUGAAUAAGGCUCUGAAACGUG
This 545-nucleotide ribosomal RNA is filed under the name Conus cancellatus austini. Its description in RNAcentral is "partial 12S ribosomal RNA". Lineage: Eukaryota; Metazoa; Mollusca; Gastropoda; Neogastropoda; Conidae. The record is from RNAcentral.